AGCUUUGCGCAGCGGCAGCCUUGUAGCCAAUGAGGUUUAUCUGAGGCGCGCGGAUAUUGCUAAUUGAAAACUUCUCAGUACUAUCCCGCCAUGAUGACUUGAAAUAUAGUAGGCAUUGGCAUUUUUGACAGUCUCUACAGAGA
Lemur catta (Ring-tailed lemur) is the source of this 143-nucleotide small nuclear RNA. RefSeq annotates it as U4 spliceosomal RNA. Lineage: Eukaryota; Metazoa; Chordata; Mammalia; Primates; Lemuridae. The transcript has a single exon. The record is from RefSeq and is a predicted model, not a curated record.